GCACAACUAAAUUAGAUUAGUUUAAGGUUACAAAAAUGAGAGGAUCAAAACACCCAUCUGCUCCAGAAAGUAAUCCAAUUCUCGUCCUCGUCAUCAUGGGACUGAAAUCCAUCAAACAACGUACGUGUCAUCAUUCCAUGUAAACUGGCAAUGAACUGAAACGUGGCUGUUACUUGAACUGAACAGCGCCGCCGUACACAGUAGUACUGCUAAGACCGACCAUGCACUCGCUCCGAGCAAAUCAGUUCCAAAAUGGCCAUCAAGCACCAACCAACCAUAAAAGCCCCGAGAAAACCUAAUUUGAAUUCAACCUAAAACUGGUUUAAAGCAGUAGUAACAAAAAGUGGUGGUGCUAAUGUCGUCAUUUGGGCCUUGGCAGGGCGGAGGAAGGCCGGAUUUCGUUCCCUUGCUUUCUCCUCCUCGAAUAUAUGGGACCCUUUUGGCUAUGGUGACGACGGCUGGACCACCGGCAGGGGCGGCGGUGCGACCGGGGUGAUGACGUGUCUGCUCUGGCUCAUGCCAACGUGGAUUGGCGCGAAACUGACCAUGCCCACAUCUUUCGUGUUGAUCUGCCUGGUUAUCGACUUAUCGCUCCUUUCUCUUUCAUCCAAUUUUCUUUUUUCCCCCAAAAUAAAAAAAAAUCUUUAGUUUAAAAUCAUGUAGUUUAAAUUAUAGCAUAACAUCAUUUAAAUAGUGGUCUCUAUUAAAUAUCUCUCUUUUUUUUUUCUUAAUGUUUGUGAGCAUCGUUUAUAAUCCAUUUGCUUCAACUUAAGUAACAUCAUUUAUUUCAUUGGUCUAAAUGAUAUUUCUCUAUUAUUGAGACUUGGAUGUAAUCCAAUAAUUAAGAGUUUUCAUCCAAAUUUAAUUAUAGCACACUCCACUUUUCUUGAGCACUUUAUUCUUUCCAUUUUUUUCCCAAAUUGGGCACAAGAAAUGUAUUUGAUGACCUCAAUAUUAGAUAAAAGAGCAAAAAAAUUUAUUAGGUGAACUGAUUUAAUUGUAAUUAUUUUUUUUUUGUUUGGGGUAUUUCAUAUAUAUCAUAUAAAUGGUGAAAAACAAGGAAAUUGAACAAACUUUCAUGGGGUGUGUAGUAGGGAUAUGUGCAAUAUAUUCACAAGGGUGCAUGUUAGCAAGGUUAAUAUUGUCUAAAAUAAAUGGCUGCUUUAAUAUUUUGGUUGGGGUCAACAGGGCAGACUUGAAGGUGCAGGUGGAAGAUCACAACAUGCUGGAAAUCAGUGGAGAUAGGGUGGAGCGCCGCCGUCGAAGCUACCGGAGGAGGUUCCGGCUGCCGGAAAAUGCUGAUUUGGAGGGAAUCAAAUGUGGGCUUGAGAAUGGAGUCUUAACUGUGACUAUCCCCAAGAAAGUGACUCAGGAGACUUCCCAGAAAUGUUAGAUAGAUGUUGCUUUGUUUAAUUAUCUCCACUUGUUGCUUGCUUGUUUUCUAGGUAAUCAAUCACUCAUGUAAUGUUAUUUGGGACGAAGUGGGUAAUCGUCCAAAGUUUGGGGGAUAAAGUGGAUUUAACCCUGAAAUUAAUAAUCAAAGAGCAUACGUAGGCCAACAAAACAUUAUCCUUAUCCAAAGAAGGAUCCGAAGUCACGCAGAGUGGAAAAAAAUACUCGUGCACAUUUCGUAUUUGGACUUUUUUAGUGAUGAUCAUCCAACCACGUACGUUAGACAAAGGAAAUAAAAUGCACCCUUUUUCUUUUUGAAGGAAAUUAUGUACUAGUAAUUUUCUUACCUCAAGCUAGAAGCACCCGUCACGUUGAGAAAAUGAAGCGAAAAGCAAUAAAUCUUACUACACAAAAUAUCAAUUCAGUCUCCUUUUCUUGCACGUCUUUCAUGACAUAUGGAAAGUUGCCCUUAUUAUUACUGAUAAUUGCACAUAUCUUUCUUCGUCUUUAUACGGACAUAAUGAUGGUUGCAUUUGACAAAUUUCAAAAAGCAGUAAAGUUCGUGAGAUUAUUAUAUGAGUAAAUUUUAUAUAUACUGAUAGUGUAUACAUUAUCACCGUUUGAUUCAUGGUAUACAUGCAAAAGUUGAAUUUCAUUCAUCCAAUUAUCACCGUUUGAUUCAUGGUAUGCAUGCAAAAGUUGAAUUUCAUUCAUCCAAUUAUCACCGUUACUGUCAGUGUAGGAAAGAUUAAUCCUUAUUAUAUUAGUUCUAUCAUUAAAAUUUAUAUCCAUCUCUCAUCGAUUGGCUGUAUAAUUAAAUUUAAUAUAACUAAACUAUGUUAUUAACCUUCGAUCUAAUAAUCUAAUGAUAUUCUUAAAUUUUGACCAUUUUCAUUUUGAUAAACUUACGCUAUCCUGCUCGAAAGAAAAAGAAAUCAGAAACUCUGGCUUGUUUUUUUUUCUUUUAAAGAUCUCAAGCAUUAAUGUUAUCCGCUAGAAAUACUAGUGUAAUUCAAUUUUAAGUUCGCUUUCAAACGGCCUACUUCAUUCUUUUGGCAUUUUAAACCAACUUUGGUUGAAUUAAACAAUCUAGAAAUCAAACGCGAAAUCCAUGUGCCGAAAAUUAAGGUCAUGCUAAUCUUGCCAAUUUGGCAAUUUUUCAUUCCUUACCAAAGACGGGUCGCACUCGUAAACGCAAUCUUCCGCUCACUCUCCAUAAUCUAGCCACGUGGCAUUCGAGGAAUCUAACCAAAACCGAUAAUAAAAUGAACAAAAUUUAACCAACAGAACAGAACCACUCAGCAAAAGAAAGACCGUCGCAAAUAAUAAAACAAUGCCACUGCUCCUCUCGCCACCUCAACAGCCGCCGCCGUUAUCUUACUCUAUCCGCCUUAAGAAUGCGGCGAAUUUGAACUCUCUCCGCCGCGUUCUUCUACUAUCAACAGCACCUCAUUCCUCUAUUUCUUCUUCUUCUUCUUCUUCUUCUUCGUCUUCGUCUUCAGCUUCCCGCGCCGUGGAAAAUGUGGAUACGUUCACCAAGUACUCAGGAUAUUUAUUCCAGCUGAGCUCCUCGGAAGCGGACUCGUUGACGGAGUACAACGUUUCGAAAAUCGCCGGAAUUUAUCAGAAGAAGCCGCUCAUUGUCCUCCGUCGCCUCUUCCAACUCGCUAGUACACUCGGGAAAUGGUUCGCACUUCGCUACGUGGAUAAACUCACCGAGCGUGCCGACCAGAUGUUUGAGGUAGUUUUCACUCCAACCUAUACUUAUCAAGAUCUGAAUAACUCUUAUUGAACAUUUGAACCAAUCAAAUUCUUUUUAAAAUUAUUUUAAGCUCGAAUUUGACUAUAUCAAGUUAUAUUGAGAUGAUAAAAGCUUAUUUUUAAUAGUUAACUCCAUGUUGGUUUUUAGAAUCCAUAUUUUAUGAUCAUUCAAGUGGUAGCAGGGAGUGUUUUGUAGUUAAACUGCGUUGUUCUUUGUUUAAUUGUUGUUAUUAUUGAUUACUCAGGUUAGAGCAGAGGAACUGAGAAGGAUAUUGGUAGAGCUUGGGCCGGUAUGUUCUAGACGUAUUAACUUUUUAAGCAGAAAUUUAUGAAUUUAGUCAUGCGUCUAUAUUUUAAUUCAGGCUUUUUUUUUCUUUUCCUUUUGUAGGCAUAUAUUAAAAUAGCUCAAGCUGUUUCAACUAGACCUGUAAGUGACACUUCUCUUUCAUUACCAUUGGCUUGGCUUCAUUUCCUAUUUAAUUUGUUGUCGAGAUUAAGUUGCUAAGGCUUCUAAACUUCUUGAAUUUUUUAUACUUGUGAUUAUUUAUGAUUUUGACUACUAUGAGCACAAAAAUUUGGUACUAAAGCUUUCUACAUAGACCCCAUGGGUGAUGCUGAUCAUUGAUGGCAUAAAUAGAGUCCUCAAUCUUUAUUUCCUUAAGCUGUGAAUUUUUUCUGAUAGUUUUUUUUUUUGCAUUUUUCUUGAAUUUUGACAUCUAUCAUUUUCUUCUUCAGUAGUGGCUCUUGGAUCUUCUUGAAGGAGAGUAAAGACAAACAAGUUUUUUUUUUUUUAGCAACACUGACCUUUUAUUGAUUAUACUGAGAGAAUGUGUGUGCACAAGGUUAAUCCACAGCUACAUCAGAUCAACACCACAAACCCACAAAUGCAAAUAAACUCUAGUAACCUAAAAAAGAUUUAUCCAGUGGCAAAUCCAAUCGAGUGUUAGUUCCAAUUUUCUCUGGUUUUGGGAAUCUUUACCCAAGUAAGCACCACAUGCUUCAUACUCUACACAAUAGCUGCCAUGACACCUGCAGUAGAAUGCUUAGCUUGGGAUAUCCCAGAAUUUCAAGCUCUCCAAAUUUCGUACACAGCAACUGCAAAAAUCAGCCUCUUGAAUUGGUGCGCAAAAGAAGACGGACAAGUAAAAUUAUCUAAGAUAACUAAUUAAACCCAGUGGUUCUCUGUGCAGGCUACAUAUGAGCUUGCUUCAGUAGUUCCUAUGAAGUUUCUGAAUACCAUACAUUGAAUGUUUGGGGUAUUUAGGAGAUAUUUGCAUUUGGUUAGCAAUCAGAGAAAAAGAAUAUAACAAAGUCGAGUUGCAAUUAUCAGAGAAAAAGUAACAACCAAAAGUUAGAGGCAAUGUCAAAAGGAGAAUUCUUCACAUUUUCUCUCAUUGAUAACUGAGCAAAGCCAUGAUCUCAAACAGCUCCCAAGUGACAAAAGUACAAAGAGCUCAUCUACUUUGUCAAACAUGUCCAAACCAUCUCCUUUAUGUUUACCAUCCAGAAAUUACAUUUUUCUGUUCAUGUUUGUGUAUUUAAUUUGAAUUUAAAUCAAUUUGAAGGUAGUAUUGAAGCUGAUAAAAUGUGCAGUUUGAUGAUUCCACUAAUUAGCAGCACAUUGUUUGUAACCAUUAAUUUCUUGCAAUUUGCAACUUAAAUGAGUUCGUACAGGAGAAACAAUGUUGGCCAUACGUAUAGAAGAAUUAAGGUGUUUCUGUAUUCAAUCAAAAUAGACUUGCAUCAGGCCCUGAAUUAAAUUCAUACAUCAUUUGGUGAUGGUUUCUCGAUUAGUGUUUCAACAUCUCAUGUUUGAAUAAAAGAGAACAAUUUGUGAUAACAAAUUUGAUCGGCCAUGUUUAGUUGCUUGAGCCAUCAUUUCUCAUGUUAACACUACUUACUGUAAGUUCAGAUACACAAAAACAACGUCCUCUGAAAAAGCGAAGAAGAUAGAGAGAUAGUAAAGGAAAGAUAGUCCUCAUCUUGUUCUCCAACCUGAUACCUGCCAAUUUGCAGUGGACAUGCAUUAUUGGUUAUUUAGUUCCUUCUGAAGGUGGAGUAUCUUUGUUUAAGUUAAAGUAUCCUCCUUGUUAGGAACACUCUUGAGUUAUAUCAUAUGUGGUGAUUGCAAAAUCAAAGUUGAUUAAAAAAAAAGUGCAUGCUUGUGAAUUUCAAGCAUUUAAAUUAUUAUAAGCUGGAGAUGUUUGAGUAGUAUUUCAUGAUUUUGUUCAAGAAACAGCAUUUCAUACAUUCUAGGUCCCCUGUUUUCAUUCUAAUAGCAUUGUUGCAUAAUCCUGAAAGGGACUGCAUUAAUGUUAUGCAACUACAUUGUUUUACGAUAUUUUAUUUACUUUAUUUUAACCAGGCACAUCUUACACUCUACUUUGACAUAUUCUUCCAGGAUUUGAUACCACCUUCAUAUUUGGAUGAGCUCUCACUGCUUCAAGAUCGAAUAGCACCUUUUUCUUCUGAUGUUGCUUUUGAUAUGAUAGAGAGAGAGCUUGAGUUACCAAUAGAUGCUAUUUUCUCAGAGAUCUCGCCUGAGCCUGUAGCUGCAGCAUCUCUUGGGCAGGUUUUCGGUUAUUCAUGCUUAUUUGUAACUUAUUAUUUAGAUUCUAACUCAUAUUGAGUACUUCAUAUGGUGACAAUAACAAAAUUAAUGCUGGUUGUGGUUGUCCCUAAUUUUUAACCGUAUAACUAAAGGUUUGUUAUCUUUUCUUUAUCUUUGGGUCUGGAAAGGUUUAUCAAGCUAGGCUUCGUUCUAAUGGACAACUAGUUGCUGUCAAGGUUCAAAGGCCAGGAGUUCAGGCAGCAAUCUCUCUCGACAUAUUAAUUUUGCGUUACCUUGCAGGAUUAAUAAAGAGAGCUGGCAAAUUUAACUCUGACCUUCAGGUAGUCUUUCGUGAAAGAGAUAAAUGAUUCUUUUGUGUACAAAGAAGCGGAAAAUAUGUAGUUUGGUCACAUGAUCCUUGCAUUUCCUAGGCUGGAAAGUCUACAACUAGUGUUGCCAGGCAAUGUAGGCUGAAUCCUAUGAAUUGGUGCAUGUAUUGUGGCCUUAGGAAUACUUCCUGAAAGGAGGUCUUUGUGAUCUUUUCUUGUGGAGGUUAUACCUCCUUAUAUCUAGAUCCACUUGUAAUUAAAUUACAAUAAAUUUAGUUUUAUUAGUGUAAUAUAGGGGUUUGACUGUCUGAUCUUCAACUCGUAGGGUAUCGUUGAUGAGUGGGCAUCAAGUCUUUUUCGGGUAUGUAUCCAUCAUUUUACACUUGAUUGCUCAUAUGUAGCUACACUUCCAUGGUUGCAUGUAUGUGACUGCUAGUUAGGGCAUUCAUCCAAAUUCUCAGUGCUAAGACAAGUUUGAAGGUUGAGACUAAAUGAAUCUCCCAAAAGAAGUUCGCAGUUAGUUGCCUAUGGAAAUAACCUUACAAGAUGAGGUAACUUAAGGAGUCCUAAGUUCAUGCACGUGAACAGCAUUCUUACUUAUUAAAAGUGGCUUGAGUCAAAAUCUUAUUCACAUUACGGCAUCUUUUUAUGAGGGGUGAGCAGCAUUAGAGUGAAACUCCUAUUUUGUUAGAUCAAGGUAACUUAUGGUCCAUGCAAUAUUGUUCCUUUCAUGUGUAAUUUCAGUGUUCAGAAGCAUUAUUCAUUUAGAAGAAGGGGAAUGGAUGAUUUAUGAUCCUUUUAAGCACUAAUAUGAAUAGAAGUUUUCUGUUAUUUGAAUAGAUGUAUCUCAUGUAAUUUGUGUAUAAAAAUGGAAUCACUUGCUGCCAAAAUACUAUAGCAGCCACAGUUAUCAUACCCUGAAUCACUUACUGUUUAAAUACCACAGUAUUCAGGCUACCAUACACCAUGUUUUGUUCUCACAAUUUAAAUUCUGCUUGUUAAUCUCCAUCACAAGAUCAAAAGAGGAAUAUAUUCUUAGGGCUUUGUAUUGAAUACAGGUAAUCAAAUUGAAUGCAGGAGAUGGACUACAUACGAGAAGCCAGCAAUGGAGUUAAAUUCAGGUACAAGGUCAAUUUCGGCAAAUAUGAAUUCCAAAAUUUUAACUCAUAAUCAUAUUGCACUUAUUAUGUGUAUAUGUAUCUGUAUGAUGCUUCUGGAGUCUCUUUUCAGCUCAUCAUGAGAGCUCGUUUUAGCUUUACAGGCUAACAUGAAACCUAAUCUGGAGCAGGACCCAAUGAAUCAUCUAACUGUUGAAAAUCUUUGCAUUGCGAUUUAUGAAUUAAUCAGGGUCGUCAGUCAACUCUUUCUGCUAAGAUAAAUUUGGCAAGUAUCUGUUGGAUUCUAUAACCGUCUCACAGUAUCUUAUGUCUACGAUGCAUUGGAAAAAGUUUCGCCUUUCAACCCCUUCUUGAAAGAAUGUGUGUAUAAGUAUCUAAGUUAAUCUUUUCUUGUGACAUAAUUUUUUGUUUUGGGGUACAUUGCUAUAACGCUGACCAAUCUGUAAUGUGAUGUGGUUGUAUGGUUGCAUGCCAAUCAAGAGUUAUUGCUAGAAAUGUUGGCUGUUAUAGUCAGCUUGAUUACGAAUGGAACUGAUAUAUAUUCAGUCAACCUUGGUUUAGUUUCUAUUAUUUUGUAUUGGGACUGGGCUUUUUAGUCAUAUUUGAGCCAUGAAUCUCACGAUCCCUUCUGAGUUCAACCUCCACAGAAAUGCCUAGUUUCUCACUCAUUUGUCUUAUUGGUUGAUUAUAUUGACCAUAUUUUCUGUCUUUGUAUGUUUUAACUAUUGCCCUGUUGUGCUAUGCAGGCAAUUAUAUGGUGGAAUAAAAGAUGUUGUAGUUCCCGAAAUAUUUAUGAAUCAAACAACUCGCAAGAUCCUUGUCAUGAAAUGGGUGGAGGUAAUAUUGAAGGUCCUUGUCACAACUACCAUUGAUUUAGCUCGUUUUAACAAACCAAUUAAGUUUUCUGCUAGCCACUGCAUAAAGAACUCAGAAAUUUGUUGGGGCAUAAAAUUAAAAUAAAGAAAGGGGCUCAGUAGGAAAGCCCUGUUUGGAAUUCACUAACUUUCUUGGUCAACAUUAGCUUCCUACUUUAGUCCUCAAUAAAUUAACUGCAGAACCAACCUAGCUAUUUACAAGAUUCGCCCCUGGCCACCCAAUAAAAUUACUUCUUGCUUCUAGUUUGCUUGGUUUUUGGGUUGUCUAGAAUCACGUUUUGCAAGAAAAGUGCCUAUCUGGUCGUGCUUCUUCUCACUUGACAUGGAGCUACCUUCAACAAAAUUUGCAUUAUCUUAGGUCAUCUAAGACUUGACAUCUAGGACAACUUGUACGGGCAUUUUUAUUUCAUUUGUUACAAAGUUAAGGCAUUUUAGGAUCAGGCUGAAUGUUUCUGCUUGCUCAUAUAGCUAACUAUUUAUCUUUGUUCUUCACUGUUAACCACCAAAUCCAUACUCUGCAUUUUAGAACAAUACCUCUAGAAAGGGGUACUAUCAUAACUUAAAUGUUAAAUCAUACAUCUAGACGUGUUGUUCUCAUUGUUUAUUCCCAGGAUUACAUAGUUCAAUAUCUGUUCACUUGCUAAUAUGAAGGAUAAGUGUCAUAUAGUAUAAUUUAUGCAUUCAUCUUCCAAAACUAGUUCAAUAUUAUCCUCGUAUAAUUCAAAUUUGGUGAUCUCUAGGGACAAAAGCUGGCCGAAGUGAAGGAUCUCUAUUUGGUUGAGGUCAAAUCACGAAACCGUUUUCUGUUCUCUUUUUUUUUCCCCCUAUGUUUUCAGAUUGUCUGCCAUAUAGCACAAUGUUGUAGACCUAAAAGCCGCACUCUGAAUUCACACAGGUAGGAGUUUAUUGCUCAUUCAAUCAACUUCUGGAAAGAGGGUUCUAUCAUGCAGAUCCACAUCCUGGAAACUUACUUCGCACAUAUGAUGGGAAACUUGCAUACUUAGGUACUCUCUUGAACUUACAUCUAUUAUGAAGCAUAUUAAGAUUUAGUUAACACAACUAAUGGUAAACGGAAAUACAUAAUGCUGUAUUUAAUUGCCAAUAGCUCCUGAUUUUCCUUUUCCUUUCCCCUUUUUCUUCUCGUGUUUAGGUUUUAACAUUAUGAUUCCUUGUGUUUAGGUUCUAACAUUAUGAUUUCCCUUUUUUCUUCUUGUGUUUAGGUUUGAACAUUAUGAUUUUGCCUGUUUAGUUGCCUUGAUUGAAGCUGAAACCUUAUUUUGCCAUUCUAGUGUAAUCAUAAUUAAAUUUACUGCUUAAACUAGUCAAAUUAACUUCCCUGUAUUUUCAACUUCAGACUUCGGUAUGAUGGGUGAAUUCAAACAAGAACUUCGUGAUGGUUUUAUUGAAGCUUGUCUUCAUCUUGUAAAUCGUGAUUAUGAUGCAUUGGCCAAGGACUUCGUGACUCUUGGGUAGAUGAUCAUGUUUUCAUUCAAUUGCUGAAGAAAUUGGUUCUACCCUUGAUGGCAUUGAUUAAACACUGUUUACUUGUUUACUUGACAGACUUCUUCCACCAACUGCAGACAAGGAAGCUGUUACAGUGGCACUAACAGGUUAAAAUUUGCUUUUCAUAAUGUGAACUCUUGUGUAUGAAUCUGAAGAGGUGACGUCAAUAUAUUAUGUAUGGGUUCAUUGAUAGUUUUCCGGCCUCCGUAGGUGUUUUUCGAGAUGCCAUUGCCAAAGGAGUUCGCAAUAUAAGUUUUGGGGAUCUUCUGGGAGAUUUGGGAGUUACCAUGUAAAGUUCUGAUUUUGAGCCUUUUAUUGAAUAAUUACAUGUAUCUCAUCGUAGGAAAUCACAAAAUUAGAGAAUAGACUUGUACUAUUGACUGAAGAACUAACCUAGCAUUUUGAGUUUCACUUCCGUUAUUUAAAAAGAAAAAACAAAUCAUUUAACUAGAUGGUGAUAUUGUGAAAUGGUUGUUCAUGAAUAUAUAUAUAUAUAUAUAUAUAUUAGAGAUUCCUUUACAUGAAAGUGUUCUUUUCAAUCAAUAUUCUCUAGGUUGCAUGAGAGUUGUGCUAAACAUGCUUCAAUGUUUUUUGUAUAUUUUUUCCCAUUUGAUACAUUGGUGCCUAAGUUGAAUAUGCAAUCUUCAGCAUACACCUUGGAUAAAAGUCUGAACUAUGAACCUGCAAAACGAUGACAUUUAAGUAAAAUCCGUUGUUGUCCUUCAGAAAGCAUACCUAAAUAUGUUCUUCUUUCUUUUUAUUCUGAAAAAAAUCAUAUAUGGUUGAUUUUUUCUUCUCAUCAUAAACAUUGUUUCAAUAAUUGGCAGGUAUAAGUUCAAAUUCCAGAUACCAUCGUACUUCUCUCUUGUCAUUCGGAGGUGCCCAUCUUUUCCUGUUCAAUUCUAGCAGAAUAGUGUCACUAUACUCACUAGAAAAUCAAAGUAAAUAAAGCAGAUGUUUGUUGUAAGAAUUUCUUGUUCUUUUAGCCCCGUACAUCCUUCUAGUAACCUUAGGAAAUUGAUUUCCUUCUAGCUAUUUUGCAUUUUAAUCCACCAUCCAAAUUCAUUACUUGUUUCCGGCAAACUUCCAGCCUUGCUGUUUUGGAGGGCAUUGCUAUCAGCUUUGAUCCAAAUUACAAAGUUUUGGGUAGUACCUACCCAUGGAUAGCCAGGAAAGUACUGACCGACAGCUCAUUAAAGCUGCAAUUGUCGCUUCAAGCUAUUCUCUAUAAGGUAAAUUUGUGGAUACAAUUCCUGUCUCUGCUGAAGAUGCAAUCUAACUGUAUGUCAUUGUUUUAUCUGCUAUAUCAUCUACCACCGCUUUAUCCUUGUCAAAACCCACAGCCUGAUUGACUAAUUUUCAUGUCAGGAUGGUGUGUUCAGGAUUGACCGUCUGGAGUCUCUGGUCACAGAGGUGAGAUGGUUGCAUGGGAAUUUUUUUGCCCUUAAAUAGAUUUUUUUUUCUUUGAAAAGAUUAGUUUUAUUCAUUUCAUGUCUCUAAAGCAAGUUGUCUGCUGACCUCUCUUUGUCCCGAUAUUUUCUGCUGAAUCAUUGGCUAAUCUGCUAUUGCCACUAAAGAUUCUAUUUGCACAGUAAUGUGGAGCAUCUGAAGAGUAUUCUGCUUUUGUUACUAAUUUUUUGACUGAAAUAUUCUUUCUUUAGUUCCUAAAUUUCAUUAUUCCAUUCUAUUCCCUCUCUCAGUUUGGUAUUUUCAUACCACUAGCUAAUUUCUUUGAAAACCUUGAAUGCUUUGGCAGUCCCUACGUGCUCGGACAGAAAGAUCGAUCAGAAAACAAAUUGAAGAUGGUGAUUCCCAUAUUAUUGUCAAGGAAGUCCUUUCCUUUACAUUGACUGAAAAGGUUUGUUGCUUGUUCAUGCAUUAUUGCCGUUGAAGGGACUAGAAUUUUGCUAUUCAGUGAAGAGAAAGGAAAGUUAACUUACUAAAAAUUUUGCAGGGGGCUUUUGUUAGAGAGAUAAUUCUUGAAGAAUUUGCGAAGGUAUAGUAGGUUAAAGGAUUUUUGUUUAAUAGUUUUCUGAUGCAUAUAAGAGAUGGAACCAAGGUAGCGGAUGGUCCAUGAACAUUUAUAUCUUGAUUAAAAUACAAAACCCUUCUCCAAUCCAUUACAGCAAAAUAACAAACAAGAAGCUGAAUUUUCUCCAAGCAUGUAAAUCCAACAGCUUAAUUCACAGUGUUGGAGAGCCUUGACAGUCUUUGUUCAGAAAGAGGAAAGUAAAGCUAUCAUAUUUUUUCUUGUGUUUGAAAAAUUGCACGCAUGCAGCAAUUUAUAGCAUCUUUAAAAGAUUGGUUCACCUAAUCACAUUCUGAAAGAGCUUCUGCAUUAUGGUUCUAAAUCCACAAGAUUCUAAACUGCCAAAUAGUUGAUGGUGUUAAAAUUCUAAAUCCACAAGAUUCUGCAUUGGUGUAUAAGAACUACUUUUUCUUCUGUAUCUUAACAUGCUGCUGUAGAUGCCUCAGGUUACUGAUAGUCUUACGAAUUUUUCUAGGGAUUGGAUGCAUUUGGACUUGCAACUCUUGAUUCUGUAGCAUCUUCACUUACUGCAAGAGUCCCAUUCUCUGGUUCUCCAUCAUUUUCACUAAUGACUGAUGAAGAUAGUGCAAAUUUGAGAACAUUGCAGCGCCUUGUGUCGUUGCUAUCAGGUCUUCAAGAGGAUAGAAAAACUGGCCUGGUAAGAGAUUUUCAUUUCAAUAGUUUAACUAGUCGAAAGUCAAAUCAUUACUCAUCUGUUAAGUAGGACUCUAAUGAUAGAAAUGAAUGAAAUGACUUGCACAACUGCGCGUAUAUCAACCUCUACAGGCCUCUGUGUACAUGUUGAAGUGUAAUGAUAAGUUUUGGUACUUGCGUUGUGGGGAGAGAGAGAGUGUGUGUGAGGGAGAGACAGUUUUUAUGUUUUAUCAUAAGUGUGUUUUUCUAAUCAAGCUACCACCAAAUAUUUGAAAAUCUUUUGCUCAAAUAUGUAACAGUGCUGCAAGUGAAAAAGCAAUAUGUCAAGCCAUCUUCAUUGAUGAUGCAUAACUUUCUAGUCCUUGAGAAGUUGGAUGUGUGACCAUUAGAAUACUUCCUAUAGUCACUUCACAAAUUUAAGCUGUUGCUUUGAUACUUUUGGAACCCCAACUUCAAUUUCAUCAUGAUUAUAACCGCCGGUGAUUAUGCAAUUCAGUCUGUAAGAGAUAGCUUAAACAUGGAUGAGAAUGUUAAACUUGAUUAUAAUGUGCUGUAUUACAAGGAUGAAUUAAUCAAUCGAACAAGUUAUUUAACACUGCUCAUUGAGCAAGUGGAAUUCAUUGUAGCCCCACAUUUGAUUUAUAAUUUUUAAAAUUUGGUUUUAAAUAAGAAUGUUAAUUUAGUAUAACAUAAGGGAUGAAUUCACGACUGUGUCACAAGAGUUAAUCCUAAUGAAGUGAUAAUACUCUAGCUCAUAAAACAGUAAAAUAAGAAUGAGCUACGACUUAGGACCCACUAAGGCCAGACAAUAUGGUACAGGUUUUCUCUCACGAAAUGUUCAAAUGUACUAACAUGUCCAGAUGGGGCAUUUACAUAAUUUUUUGCAGGUCAGUGCUUACAAUAGCCGGAAAAUAUCUUCAAAUGGAGAUUCCCUGGUUCUUUAUCAAUCUGUAUCAAUUGAGGAAUUAGGGCGAUUCCUUGCUGUCCUCCCGGAGGUAAUUUAGCUCUUCAAAUCUGAAUAGACACGUGGUCAAAGGAAUAUCAUGGCUGUGUCUACCUACAGGAUACUAGUAAUGAACUCCCAGAUAUUAGAAGCCUCUCAUUGUUAUGGCUCUCACAACAUUUAGAUAUUCUUUUCUUUAUGAAAGUGAGAAAAGGGGGGGUUAGAUUCCUUGACUACUUAUAUUGUUUGCAUAUAAGUGAAGCCUUCCAAUCUUAUCAAAAAAUCCCGGGCCUUUGUGAUUGUUCAUUUAGUAUAUCCUCGGAUUACAUUUGCUGAUUAGCGUGAUUGGUUUUGGGUAAUAUAAACUUCUAUGGGAAGGAAGUUCUGAUAAUUAUGUUCCACACCUUUGGCAGCUCCCACCAGAUGUGCAACAACAGUUACUUCGGUUGCCAGCUGACCUGUUUGCCAAGUUGGUUUCUCGUGUUGCUGCAAGAGCACUUCGGAGGGUUUUCUCGUAACAUCAAUCCAUUAUUUAUUGAUUUUUUAAUGGGAAAACCACAUGAUAUUUAUGCUUCUGCUGCCUUUAGUAUUCUUUCACAAUGUAUUCCCAAAUUCUGGAAUGGGACGUCAUUCAAAUACAGGAAGAGAGAGCGAGUACAUGUUCUCUUGAGUAGGUGGCAAAAUGUAGGGCCACCGCCUUGCGUAAAUUCAAAGGUUUAACAAGGAAAAACAAAAUAAUUGUAUACAGGAGACUUCGAGGCAUUGAGUCAUUGCUGCAUGACUCCAUUAUUUUUCAAAUGGCUCCCAGCAAAAUGCUAGUAUGUGAUUUGGGUUUGUUUGGAUUUAAACUUAUUUGCAAAAUAGUUUUUAGUUGCUUCAUAAACACAUUUUUUAAUUAAUCUUUUUAUUUUUCUAAUUACAUUUUUAUCGCACAUACAUCACAUCAAAAAAAAAAUGUUACAUAACUUUUGCAAAUAAUCUCCCAUCCAAGCACAUUCUACUUCUUGCAAUGUUUUGUCCAUAGUUAUAAAAUUCGGUUCAACCCGACAAUCGAAUUGUCUAAAUUGGUGACUAAGCAAUAGGAUUGGGUUGGGUCAUUAAUUAGAUCAGACAAGUAAUAAACUUAUUGAUCAGUCAAUUAUUCAGCAGUUCAAUCGGUGAAUUGCAAAAAAAAAAUUGUCAGUUGAACCGUUAACUUAAAAAUGUUAUUAUUUUUGUAAUUUAAAAUAUAUUAUUACAUUAUCUAAUAUAAAUGCCGUCCAACCUGCUAUUGAACCACCCAAUCCACGGUUGAACUGAUCACCUCAUUUUAUAACUAUAGUUUUGCCUAUAUCUGCUUCCGCGAAUAACCCACACAUACAUAAAACAUUAAUAAUAUAUGUAGAAUGUAAUGAUCUUGAUACCAAAUGGAAAUAUGCUCAUGACGUAUAGUUAAAGUUUACAAUACCAGAAUACCAGUUUAAGUUUGGUCUAGUCGAUAGAAAGAACAAAAUUACUAAGAAUUCUUCCCCCUAUCAGGUUCAGAGUUCGAAUAUUGGAUCAUCUGAUAGUUGAAGAUAGAAAGGGUGUGGAAAGAAAAAAAGAAACUUAUUAAUCUUUUAACUGGUUAAAGGUUUAUAUUUAUUGAUAGCGACAGCUCAUGUAAAGACUUCAUAUGUGAACAAAUACUAAGAAAGGUGUUACUUACUAAUUCCGAAUGUUGCCCCCUUUUUUUUUUUUAUAAAUGGUGUAGCAUGCUCUGAAUUGAUCUUGAAGCGAUUUUUCAAAUCUGUAGUGCAUGUACGAGUCAGGCAACUUUUCCACCUAAACUGAAACAGCUUUAGGUUUUGGUUUUUCAAAUUUUUUACGUCAUGCUGUAGCGCAUUAUUGACUAGGUCUUUGUUCAUCUCCUGAUUUUAGUAGGUCAAUUCUCGUGCCUCAAUUGACUUUAAAAGCUGGAUAACAUUUGCAUUCAUAAAACGGCAGUAAAAGCAAAUUCCAGAAAGCAUCUUUUUGAGAAUAUGCUCCUAGUUUUCUGCUCAAAUAAAACUUUAAUAUGUGAAAGGAUGUUAAACAACUAAGCGAGACAUGAUGAUAUCAUCGAAAAUACUAGGAAAUAAUAAUAAUGAUUCCCCAAAAUUAACAUCUUUUUUUUUUUUUGCUGGGUAAGAUAUUUAUUGAUACCCAAAGGAGAUACAAAACUACAAGGGGCAUACCCCAGGAAAUACAAUCACAAUAAACCAGUUAGCAAAAGACUGCUACAGAUCCAAUUGCGCAAUGGUCCAUGCAUUAUAACCAUGGCGACAGCUUUUACAAGUUGGAACAACAAUACAUUCUGCCCAAAACAAAGGACUGCCUGCUUCCUUAGCUGUAGCUUGUGCAUGCAACUGAGGGUUUUCUGCUUCAAGCUAAGACACCAAACUUGACUGCAAUAGUAACACAAACGUCCAUCCAUCAAAGCCUGAAGAAAGCUAAGACAAAACCUGGGAGAACAAACAAAAAAAAAAAAUUUUUUUUUUUUGGCAAGUCUUGCAGCAGACAGUCAAGAUUCUUGCCGAAAGUGGGCUCAAGGAAAACGUAUAAUGAGCAUAAUUAAAAUCAGUUUCAAAGAUAGUCAAGGAAACAUGAAGAUCAACCCAGAUUUGUAUCAGCAAGAGGAACUAACUAAGAUAGAGAUUAAGUAUCCUGGUGGCUGAUUUUCAGUUGUUAUAAUAUAUAGUAGCAGCAUCAGCAUGAGAUGGUAACAAUAAUGUGACUACUGAAAUCGGAAGUGGGAACAAGGAUACCGUAAGAGUAAGAUCAACUUCAAAAGAUACUCGAAGAUCAACUUAGAAACUUCAACUAGCAACAUGAAUUAAGGUCCAGAAUGCGCACUGGACAGGCUAAAUUACAUUUGAAAUGAGAAAAAAUGAGCUGUACUGCUACUAGCAUAAUAAUGCAGUCAGUUCUUACUAAAUUUUUCUUUUACAUUCAUCUGUUUGUGCUUUUCUAUUCCUAACAAGUUAUAGCUAGUUGAUCAAGAAAGGUCCCCCUAAAAGAUACACCAAAGAAACGAGUAACAGAGACCCGGACAUCUAAUGUACUUUUUUUUUUGCCCUUUUCUUCUGUUGCAAAUAUAUCAUUAGCAAACUGAGAAUUCCGUACAAGGUAAACCAUUUUGCUCUACAACCCCAUGCUUCCAUUUGAUGCCCCUAUCAAUUUUGCAGCAGUUUACAUGUGGAAGUAUACUCAACAUCUUACAAAAUUUCAUUGUGCAUAUGAUGUAAGAAAUUCAUAGAUGACUUCACUGGAGAAAUUACUUUCUUUCGCAAAUUUUGAAGACAAUGUUGCUGAACAUAUUAUUCUUUACCAUACAAAGAUUUUGCGCAAACAUUUCAGAGAUGUAAAGCUUGAGGAUAGACUAUUAGACAAACAACCCUAAUAAGCUUUAAUGGAGAUUGGAGCUUUACCAAAUGAUUGCCUCCUCAAUUCAUAGCUUGAUCUAGGUUAGAAAGACGAAGAUACGUUAGUACACAAAAUGAAUGGACAGGGAAUAAACGUAGGAGCAAACUAUUUACAACUUCUCCAAAUAACAAUCAAAUCAAGUGAAAGACGACAACAUUUUCUGCUCUCGCUAAUCUCCUUUAGCCAAAGAAGACCAAGUUCCUUGAGCCCAAACAUCCUCGCCAUUUUUCUCGUAGCACUUGCGGACUUUGCUGCUGGCAGAAGCUGUUGGUGUAACAUCGUACUCAACUAGUCCAAGUGUUGGGAUAGUACAAUAAAUCCCUCAUCCUGGGAACGCUCAAAGCCUACUGAUAAAUCAUAUAAUGAUAAACUACAAUUUUUUGAAGAAAUGCAGAUUCCUUACAAUGAGACGGGAAUUAUACAAAUUCAUCUUUCUAGUUACCACAUGGAAAGAAUGCUAUGCUAAAGUAAGACAAAAUUGCUGAGUAUUGCUGAGUAAGACAAAAAUGCUAAGAUAAAAGAAUGCUAAAGUAAGACAAAACAGGGCCACUGUUUACUCUUUGCAAUUCCUGCAGACGAGGGGCUGCCAAGGUUUAAGAAUUAUAUGAUACGAGAUUCUGCAACAUUCAUAAGCUAUGUUCAACUUGUAUAAAACACUUUUGAGUAAAACCAGCAAAACUUCAAUUUACAUUAUUACUAGGCUAUGCAUCUUCCCAGG
RNAcentral lists this long non-coding RNA (17296 nucleotides) under Coffea arabica (coffee). RNAcentral's name for it is "long non-coding RNA (CARA_LNC007034)". Lineage: Eukaryota; Viridiplantae; Streptophyta; Magnoliopsida; Gentianales; Rubiaceae. The record is from RNAcentral.